AGGAUCCUAGAGGGCCUCUUCUGGCGGAAAUUUGAAGGAGAACAAAAGUGGCCCUAACCACAGCACUUCCCCCUGCAAAUAAUCCAAGGAUAGAGCUGAUCUUCCUAAUUUCUCUCCUCAUUAUGAAUUUUAGAGCCUCACCCUCAGCUCCUCCAGAUGGAUUAUUGGUGAUGUUACCUCCCCUCCUCCAACAAUUUCUUUCUUCUAAUUCCGUUUCUCUGUCUGCUUCUCAGAGAACCUAACGGACCUGCAGAAAGAGGAAGCCAGCUGCCAUAUCCUGAGGACACAGGAAACAGUGGAGAGUCCCAUGUGGUGAGGAAAAAAGGCUCUCUGCCAACAGCCAUGUGAAUGCAUUAUCUAGACUUCAACCCUAAGCAACAAGUUUAUUGCAAUCUCUUGAGGGACUCUUAGAACCAGGUGCUUUUGCUUUUCUAAACAUAAGCUGAUGCAAGAUAAUAAAUGUUUGUUGUUUUAAGAUGCCAAAUAUUGGAGGACUUUGUUACAUAGCAAUAGAUUACCCCUAUAGUUGUAAAUCACCAUCUAAAAGUAGCCACUAUUGAAGAAGCACUAGACAGACAAAAUGUCAACCCACUUGUCAUCAAUCAGCCUCUGUCAUCAGCCACUCCAAUGCUAGUAAAAAGACUACAGGAAUAGAGAAGCCAUGGGCACAGAGAUGAAAGCCAUUCAUGGACCCACAACAUGAACCCCCAAUCACCAAGGUUUAUCUACCUAGUUACUGCUGCUCCUGGAAGUCCAAACUGAGAGCAGUGGAAAACAACACAGAAACAUUCUAUGAGGAAACUAACCAGCCAGUUGGUAA
Long non-coding RNA from Canis lupus familiaris (dog), 820 nucleotides. RefSeq lists it as uncharacterized. The record is from RefSeq and is a predicted model, not a curated record. The transcript is spliced from 3 exons. NCBI's taxonomy places the organism in Eukaryota, Metazoa, Chordata, Mammalia, Carnivora, Canidae.